GUGCCGCACUAGAGCCCCCUGUUGCAACGAGAUUUUUUAUCGCCUUCACUGUCAUGAUGAUGCAAAGGUUGUAAGUUCAAUCUGUGAUAGUGCUCAAGAGGUGGUGUUUGCAUGGGGAAGUACUUUUGUUGGACUUGUAAGUUUUUGGAUGAUGAUGUGCGUCAAAUC
This is a long non-coding RNA of Eucalyptus grandis, 168 nucleotides long. RefSeq lists it as uncharacterized. Lineage: Eukaryota; Viridiplantae; Streptophyta; Magnoliopsida; Myrtales; Myrtaceae. The record is from RefSeq and is a predicted model, not a curated record. The transcript is spliced from 3 exons.